This 731-nucleotide ribosomal RNA is filed under the name Glycyrrhiza uralensis (Chinese licorice). RNAcentral's name for it is "eukaryotic LSU rRNA". The stretch from base 292 to 447 matches the Rfam family "5.8S ribosomal RNA". The record is from RNAcentral. Lineage: Eukaryota; Viridiplantae; Streptophyta; Magnoliopsida; Fabales; Fabaceae.
UUUAGGAAGUUGGGUCAAGGUUUCCGUAGGUGAACCUGCGGAAGGAUCAUUGUCGAUGCCUUGCAAGCAGUCCAACCUGUGAAUCAGUUUGACUACAUCGGGUUGGAUUGGGGUGUGCAACACCUCAACCUCCCUUGGGUUAGGAGGGGGCCACGCACUGUGUUCUCUCCUCUUAGCCAAAACACAAACCCCGGCGCUGAAUGCGCCAAGGAACUAAAAUUCGUUCAGUGCGCCCCCGCCGGCCCGGAGACGGUGCUCGUGCGGGUGGCGUUUUGACACGUGAUGCAGAAUGACUCUCGGCAACGGAUAUCUAGGCUCUUGCAUCGAUGAAGAACGUAGCGAAAUGCGAUACUUGGUGUGAAUUGCAGAAUCCCGUGAACCAUCGAGUCUUUGAACGCAAGUUGCGCCCGAAGCCAUUAGGCCAAGGGCACGUCUGCCUGGGUGUCACAGACCGUUGCCCGAUGCCAAUUGCCUCGCGAUAGGUACUUUGGUUGUGCAGGGUGAAUGUUGGCUUCCCGUGAGCAUUGCGGCCUCACGGUUGGCUCAAAACUGAGUCCAUGGUAGGGUUUGGCAUGAUCGAUGGUGGUUGAGUGACGCUCGAGACCAAUCAUGUGUGACUCCACUGAGUUUGGGCUCUGUAACCAAUAGGCGUCUUUGAACGCUCGUGAUGAGACCUCAGGUCAGGCGGGGCUACCCGCUGAGUUUAAGCAUAUCAAUAAGCGGAGGUAAAA